CCUACGGGUGGCAGCAGUGGGGAAUAUUGCGCAAUGGGCGAAAGCCUGACGCAGCGACGCCGCGUGAGGGAUGAAGGUCUUCGGAUUGUAAACCUCUGUCAGCAGGGAAGAACGGUCACUGUGCUAAUCAGCAGUGAAUUGACGGUACCUGCACAGGAACCACCGGCUAACUCCGUGCCAGCAGCCGCGGUAAUACGGAGGGGGCGAGCGUUAAUCGGAAUUACUGGGCGUAAAGGGCGCGUAGGCGGUAUUUCAAGCCAAGGGUGAAAUCCCCGCGCUCAACGUGGGAACUGCCUUUGAAACUGGGAAACUAGAGUGUGUGAGAGGGUAGUGGAAUUCCGGGUGUAGGGGUGAAAUCCGUAGAUAUCUGGAGGAACAUCAGUGGCGAAGGCGACUAUCUGGCACAUAACUGACGCUGAGGAGCGAAAGCGUGGGUAGCAAACAGGAUUAGAUACCCGGGUAGUC
Molecule: ribosomal RNA, 465 nt
Filed under: uncultured bacterium
Lineage: Bacteria
Description: partial 16S ribosomal RNA
Rfam family: Bacterial small subunit ribosomal RNA
Source: RNAcentral